RNAcentral lists this unclassified non-coding RNA (199 nucleotides) under uncultured Basidiomycota. RNAcentral describes it as "sequence contains ITS1". Lineage: Eukaryota; Fungi; Basidiomycota. The record is from RNAcentral.
CCGAACUGUCAACACGAGUUGUUGCUGGUCCUCAAGUGGGGACAUGUGCACGCUCUGUUUACACAUCCACUCACACCUGUGCAUCCUCUGUAGUUCUGUGGCCAGGGGGACUCCAUCCUCCCGCUGUGGUUCUAUGUCUUUACACAUACACCGUAAUAAAGUCUCAUGGAGUGCAUGUCGCGUUUGACGCAAUACAAUA